Molecule: long non-coding RNA, 1208 nt
Organism: Oncorhynchus keta (chum salmon)
Lineage: Eukaryota; Metazoa; Chordata; Actinopteri; Salmoniformes; Salmonidae
Exons: 5
Source: RefSeq, a predicted model, not a curated record
UCCAGGUGAGUUAGAAGAAAGCCGACUCCUCCCCCGGAGGAAGACUGUUGUCUAUUUGCAAUUUGCUUCUCAAAUGACACUCUAUUCCCCACUCUGUUGUAGUGCACUAUAUAGGGAAUAGGUGGCCAUUAGGUCUUGGUUCAUAUUAGUGCACUAUAUAGGGAAUAGGUGGCCAUUAGGUCUUGGUUCAUAGUAGUGCACUAUAUAGGGAAUAGGUGGCCAUUAGGUCUUGGUUCAUAGUAGUGCACUAUAUAGGGAAUAGGUGGCCAUUAGGUCUUGGUUUAUAGUAGUGCACUAUAUAUAGGGAAUAGGUGGCCAUUAGGUCUUGGUUUAUAGUAGUGCACUAUAUAGGGAAUAGUUGGCCAUUAGGUCUUGGUUUAUAGUAGUGCACUAUAUAGGGAAUAGGUUGCCAUUAGGUCUUGGUUCAUAGUAGUGCACUAUAUAGGGAAUAGGUGGCCAUUAGGUCUUGGUUUAUAGUAGUGCACUAUAUAGGGAAUAGGUGGCCAUUAGGUCUUGGUUUAUAGUAGUGCACUAUAUAGGGAAUAGAUGGCCAUUAGGUCUUGGUUUAUAGUAGUGCACUAUAUAGGGAAUAGGUUGCCAUUAGGUCUUGGUUCAUAGUAGUGCACUAUAUAGGGAAUAGGUGGCCAUUAGGUCUUGGUUUAUAGUAGUGCACUAUAUAGGGAAUAGGUGGCCAUUAGGUCUUGGUUUAUAGUAGUGCACUAUAUAGGGAAUAGAUGGCCAUUAGGUCUUGGUUUAUAGUAGUGCACUAUAUAGGGAAUAGGUGGCCAUUAGGUCUUGGUUUAUAGUAGUGCACUAUAUAGGGAAUAGGUGGCCAUUAGGUCUUGGUUUAUAGUAGUGCACUAUAUAGGGAAUAGGUUGCCAUUAGGUCUUGGUUCAUAGUAGUGCACUAUAUAGGGAAUAGGUUGCCAUUAGGUCUUGGUUCAUAGUAGUGCACUAUAUAGGGAAUAGGUUGCCAUUAGGUCUUGGUUCAUAGUAGUGCACUAUAUAGGGAAUAGGUUGCCAUUAGGUCUUGGUUCAUAGUAGUGCACUAUAUAGGGAACAGGUUGCCAUUUGCAACACCCCUGCUGAUUGGGUGAUGUGGCUGUGACAGGCCCUGGUGCUGUGCCACACAGGAUUACUGUGACAGGCGGCUGUGUCAGGGACUUAGCUGCAUUAGUUCACUCCACUCGUUAAAGGUUUAUUUCAGG